GCAGAAUCGCCUCGCGGCAGCUGCAAACCCGUCGGACGAUACCACACGUUGCCUCGGCGCGCCCGCGCGCCGGAGGCCCCCAACCAACCCUCCUGCCCGUGACCCCCUCUGACUAGUUUUGUUAGCGAUAAUA
RNAcentral lists this unclassified non-coding RNA (133 nucleotides) under uncultured fungus. RNAcentral describes it as "sequence contains ITS1, 5.8S rRNA gene". The record is from RNAcentral. Lineage: Eukaryota; Fungi.